This 507-nucleotide long non-coding RNA is filed under the name Elaeis guineensis (African oil palm). RNAcentral describes it as "long non-coding RNA (EGUI_LNC082151)". Lineage: Eukaryota; Viridiplantae; Streptophyta; Magnoliopsida; Arecales; Arecaceae. The record is from RNAcentral.
CAAAUUACUAAUUAAAUCUCUCAUAAAUAUUGAGUCCAAAUCCGAUGGGCAAUUAGGCAUCAGAGACCAUCGAUAUGAAAUCCUGAUCAAAGAGUUCAAAUUUCAAAUUCAAAAUUUAAAAUUCAAAAUUUUGACCCCGGUAUCCAAAAUGUGUGGAACUCAUGAUCAGAGAAUCCUAAUUCUCAAUCAUAGAGUCUCAGACACAUAAGACUCAUAAUCAGCCAUCAGAUCAGAAAGGAACCUCUAAUGUGUGUGACCCCGCAGGUUUGAACCUAAGCCGGUAGUACAGGAACCAAUUCCUGUACUAAUCGAAGUGACCAUCUAGCAAUGGUACCCGAUGAUCGGAUAGGUCGAAUAGUCACAAUCACAAUAUUCAGAACCUACGUGAAUAUGGUUACCGUAUAAUUCAUCCUUUUUGACCCCUGUGUUUAGGACGACUCAGGGUUAAACUGUCAACCCUGAUGAGAUCAUCCGAAUCAUGCUCAACUCAAUUAGUCCUGUGACUCC